Molecule: ribosomal RNA, 914 nt
Filed under: uncultured bacterium
Lineage: Bacteria
Description: bacterial SSU rRNA
Rfam family: Bacterial small subunit ribosomal RNA
Source: RNAcentral
AGAGUUUGAUCCUGGCUCAGAUUGAACGCUGGCGGAAUGCUUUACACAUGCAAGUCGAACGGCAGCACGGGGGCAACCCUGGUGGCGAGUGGCGAACGGGUGAGUAAUACAUCGGAACGUGCCCAGUCGUGGGGGAUAACGCAGCGAAAGCUGUGCUAAUACCGCAUACGAUCUACGGAUGAAAGCGGGGGAUCGCAAGACCUCGCGCGAUUGGAGCGGCCGAUGGCAGAUUAGGUAGUUGGUGGGGUAAAGGCUCACCAAGCCUGCGAUCUGUAGCUGGUCUGAGAGGACGACCAGCCACACUGGGACUGAGACACGGCCCAGACUCCUACGGGAGGCAGCAGUGGGGAAUUUUGGACAAUGGGCGCAAGCCUGAUCCAGCCAUUCCGCGUGCAGGAUGAAGGCCUUCGGGUUGUAAACUGCUUUUGUACGGAACGAAAAGGCUCUGGUUAAUACCUGGGGCUCAUGACGGUACCGUAAGAAUAAGCACCGGCUAACUACGUGCCAGCAGCCGCGGUAAUACGUAGGGUGCGAGCGUUAAUCGGAAUUACUGGGCGUAAAGCGUGCGCAGGCGGUGAUGUAAGACAGAUGUGAAAUCCCCGGGCUCAACCUGGGAACUGCAUUUGUGACUGCAUCGCUGGAGUGCGGCAGAGGGGGAUGGAAUUCCGCGUGUAGCAGUGAAAUGCGUAGAUAUGCGGAGGAACACCGAUGGCGAAGGCAAUCCCCUGGGCCUGCACUGACGCUCAUGCACGAAAGCGUGGGGAGCAAACAGGAUUAGAUACCCUGGUAGUCCACGCCCUAAACGAUGUCAACUGGUUGUUGGUCCUUCACUGGAUCAGUAACGAAGCUAACGCGUGAAGUUGACCGCCUGGGGAGUACGGCCGCAAGGUUGAAACUCAAGAAUUGACGGAAUU